This 497-nucleotide ribosomal RNA is filed under the name uncultured bacterium. RNAcentral's name for it is "partial 16S ribosomal RNA". It matches the Rfam family "Bacterial small subunit ribosomal RNA", at positions 28 to 507 of the family's 1533-position model. The record is from RNAcentral.
GAUGAACGCUGGCGGCGUGCCUAAUACAUGCAAGUCGAGCGAACGGACGAGAAGCUUGCUUUUCUGAUGUUAGCGGCGGACGGGUGAGUAACACGUGGAUAACCUACCUAUAAGACUGGGAUAACUUCGGGAAACCGGAGCUAAUACCGGAUAAUAUUUUGAACCGCAUGGUUCAAAAGUGAAAGACGGUCUUGCUGUCACUUAUAGAUGGAUCCGCGCUGCAUUAGCUAGUUGGUAAGGUAACGGCUUACCAAGGCAACGAUGCAUAGCCGACCUGAGAGGGUGAUCGGCCACACUGGAACGGAGACACGGUCCAGACUCCUACGGGAGGCAGCAGUAGGGAAUCUUCCGCAAUGGGCGAAAGCCUGACGGAGCAACGCCGCGUGAGUGAUGAAGGUCUUCGGAUCGUAAAACUCUUUUAUGAGGGAAGAACAUAUGUGUAAGUAACUGUGCACAUCUUGACGGUACCUAAUCAGAAAGCCACGGCUAACUACGUG